GUAACACCCCUAACCCCAAACCGUCGCCGGAACAGGGUUACGAGGCAUUACCGGACAUAUCAAACAAUUUACAAAUAAUUCUAAAUAAAUAAUCAACAUAUUAAAAUACUUCAUAAAUUGUUAUAAAUUUGUACUAAUUGAUUUCAUUCAUUUUUUUUUAAAUUUCGGCAGCAUUUCGACUUAUUUUUACAUUAAACCCCCUGCAAAAUUUCAAACAUAACCAACCCAAUUUCAGUAUUUCAACCAAGGCAUUUAUAUACUUAAUCCUACUUGACAUAUAGACAUAACAACUUAAGUAAAUAAAAUCCUAUUAUCAUUUCUAAUUAACACAUAAAACUAACUAAGCCAUUUCAACUUGAUACCAAUGCUAAAAAAAACUUAUACCAUUUUUCUAAUAUAAUCAUCAAAACACAUAAUAUCUUACUUUACAACAAAACUAUAUAACAUGCCAAAAUAACUAUUAUAAAUCCUAUGUACAUGCCACUUUCUCUUAAAAGAAGAAAACAUCACCAAAAUCUUUAUGUCGGAGUCGGGAUUGUCCUGGAUGCUGAACCGAGACACUAACCCCUUUUCAACCUGCGCACGGAAACAACCGUACGCUGAGUAUUUUAUACUCAGUGGUAUUACUAUAAAUUAAACUAUUUAAUAAUAAUAAAAUUUCAAAUAUUGACCAUAGUCUUAAAAAAAAAUUACUUUAAACUAAAUAUAAAUAUUCAUAUAUCAUUCCAUAAAUCUGAAAUUUAUAUAUUUAAAUAUUUACAUACUAAAUCAAUUCAUAAUUUAUAUCAUAAAUUCUUUCUCAUAUUUUUCAAUAGUGUCAAAUCAACUAAUCUCAUUUUCAAAUUUCCAUUUCAAUUAUUUACCCUAUUAACAAGGCUCGGACUCUGACAGAUACGCGGAUUCCACCCAAACACACCAAAAUAUCCAACCUAAACACACCCGAAAUAAUUUAAAUCCUUCAUAACACACCAGUAUAUCAUAACCUCCCAAACACACCAAUAAGGCAUUUAAUGCCUCUUCGGAUAAACCGAAGCAUUUAAUAACAUAGUCAUCUUCUCGGCCGAACUACAAAUCUCCUCAUCACAUCACAAAUCCUAUGGCAUGCCAUUUGUAUCCAAUCUAGUCCGAUAAGUUAAUAGGGUAUUAUUUUACUUUUCCUAUUUCGAAUUCAUUUCCACAACAAUUUCAAAUAUUCAAUCAAUACAAAACAUCUAUUAUUUCAAUUCACAUAUAAUUCAAUAUACACAUAUUCUUACUUAAUUUCGAAUGUUAAUACUUACCUUCCUUUAAAUGUCUCAUGAAUACAAUUUCAAUAUAGCAUUUAUUAAAUAGAUUAAGUUAUAGUAAUACAAACCCGGAAUACGCGUUUACUCCUCAACGAUCUUUUCUUUUCCUUUAGAUGCUGAUGCCUCGUUUUCCUUGUUAGCUACGAAAAUAAUAAUUAUUUUCACUUUUAAUUAUAAUCAUUAAAAUAAUAAUAAUAAUUAUUAUAUUAACAAUAAUAAUAAUAAUAAAAUUUUUAUUCAAUUCCUACUUAUUCCCAAUUUAAUUCUAACUAAGCUUACUUAUUUUUCUAACUUAAUUCACACUCUAUUUCUAUUCAAAUUCCUUCUAAAUCCAAAUUUAUCUACUAAUUUUUCAGCAUUUUUCACUAAUUUCGAAUUUUCCUCAAUUUAAUCCCUAAAAUUCAAAACUUAUAGUUUAAUUCACAAUUUAAUCCUUUUAUCAACUCUAACUAGAAACUCUAUCAAAUAAACCCUCAAUUCCAUCAUUUAUUCAACAUAAACCCCAAUUUAAGGCUUUUUAUAACUUAAUCCCAAUUAUGUAAAACUUACAACUUAGUUCACAAAUCAUUCUUUUUAUCUAUUCUAACUAAAAAUUCUAUCAACUAAACCCCUAAUUUAACAACUUGUUCAAAAUGAAUCAUGUUCAAAAACCUAUGAACUUCCAUAACCUCCACUUAACUUCAACAAAAUUUUGUUUUAAAGCUUUUAAAAUAUCAAAAUGAAGAGGAAAGGGCUAAAUUUAGCUUACCAAUUAACUUGAAGCUUUAAAUCCUUAGUUUUCCCUUUUAUUUUUCUUUCCCCUUUUCUUCCCCUGUUUUCGUCUCUUUCCGUGCUUCUUUUCUAGCUAUUCUGUUUCUUUUCUUCUUUGUUUCUUUCUUUCUUUUACUUUAUAUCUUUUAUUUUAACUAAUAAUAUAUUAAAAAAAAUCUUUUACUUAUUAAUUAAGCACAUAUUUAUUUUUAUUACAAGUGUACCCAUGUAAUUAUUACUAUUACACAUGUCUUCAAUAUAUACCAUACAUUUGUCAUCUUUUUUUUUUACUUAUAUAAUAUAAUACAAUAUAAUAUAAUAUAAUAUAAUAUAAAGCAUAAAAAUCUAAGAUUUUUAUCACUUUACCAUCUCAUUUCUUAUUAAUGGCUUAAUUGCCAUUUUAAUCCUUUUUUUAUUAAUCUAUAAUUCAACUUUUACCCCUAGAUCAAUUUUGUCCUUUUUUCUUAAUUUCUCUUAAUUAAACUAAAUUCACCCAAUUAAUACCUAAUUAAACACACAACUAGUCUAAUAAAUAUAUCUAAUAAUUAUUUUCGAACUCAAUUUACUAAGACGGAGGCCCGAUAAUGUACUUUUUCGGUGCUUGUGAAUUUUGGGUCAUUACAUUUCUCCCCCCUUAAUAAAUUUCGUCCUCGAAAUUUACCUGAGAAGAGAUGAGGAUAUUGUGCUCUCAUCGUCUCUUCUGGUUCCCAAGUCGCUUCUUCCACACUAUGGCUUCUCCAUAAGACUUUUACUAAAGGAACCCGUUUAUUUCUUAAUUCUUUCACUUCUCGUGCUAAUAUCUGAACCGGCUCUUCUUCAUAAGUUAAAUCAGGUCGAAUUUUAAUGUCUUCAGUGGGAAUAACAUGAGAAGGAUCCGAUCUAUAUCUCCGAAGCAUCGAAACAUGAAAAACAUCAUGAAUCCUUUGUAAUUCCGGAGGUAAAGCCAAUCGAUAGGCAACCGGUCCGAUUCUUUCCACAAUUUCAUACGGCCCAAUAAAACGUGGACUCAAUUUUCCUUUCCGACCAAAUCUUAAAAUUUUCUUCCAUGGCGAAACUUUGAGGAAUACCUUAUCACCAAUGGAAUAUUCAAUAUCUCGUCGUUUCAAAUCUGCGUAAGAUUUCUGUCUGUCGAAUGCGGCUUUCAGUCUAUCUUUAAUCUUUUUAACUGUUUCCUCUGUCUCUUGAAUCAAUUCUGGCCCAAUCACUUUUCUUUCUUUUAAUUCUGUCCAACAUACUGGUGAUCGACACCUUCGACCAUAUAGUGCUUCAUACGGAGCCAUCUGAAUACUAGAUUGGAAACUAUUAUUAUAAACAAAUUCUGCUAAUGGCAAAUAUCGUUCCCAACCUGACGUAAAGUCGAUAAUACAAGCUCUCAACAUAUCUUCCAAAAUCUGAAUUAUCCGCUCGGACUGUCCGUCAGUUUGUGGAUGAAAUGCAGUACUAAAAUUGAGCCGAGUUCCCAGUGAAUCAUGUAAUUGCCUCCAAAAUUUCGAUGUAAAUCGAGGGUCCCAAUCUGAGAUUAUCGAUACCGGAAUACCAUGUAAUCUAACAAUUUCCCGAAUAUAAACUUCGGCAGGCUUCUGUAGUGACCAAUCAAUUCUGACUGCUAUAAAGUGAGCAGACUUGGUAAGCCUAUCAACUAUCACCCAAAUAGCAUUCUUUUUGCUUGCUGACAACGGUAAUCCCGUAACAAAGUCCAUAGUAAUACAAUCCCAUUUCCACUCGGGGAUACUAAUAGGCUGAAGUAAACCUGUCGGUACCUGAUGUUCUGCUUUUACCCGUUGACAAGUCAGGCAUUUACCAACAUACUCGACUACAUCUUUCUUCAUCCCUGGCCACCAAUACAGUUCUCGUAGGUCACGAUACAUCUUCGUUCCACCUGGGUGCAAAGCAAAAAUACUAUUAUGUGCUUCUCGAAGAAUCAACUCUUUAAUCUCAGAAGUAGUUGGAACACAAAUUCGAUUCCGAAAUCUCAAACAAUCAUGCUCGUCAAUACUAAAAUUUUCCACCGUACCAAGCUGUACCAUUUCUCUUUUCUUCAUCAACUUUUCAUCUUUUAGCUGUGCUGCUCUGAUUUGAUCAAACAUUACUGGCUUGACUCUUAACUCAGCUAACAAACUUCCAUCAUCAUUAAUACUAAGCCGAGCAAACAUUGUCCGUAAUUCAACCGCUGCUUUCCUGCUCAAUGCAUCUGCUACCACAUUUGCCUUUCCUGGAUGAUAAUCUAUAACACAAUCAUAAUCUUUCAGAAGUUCUAUCCAUCGUCUCUGUCUCAGAUUCAACUCCUUUUGUGACAGAAGGUAUUUGAGACUUUUAUGAUCGAUAUAUAUGUAACAUUUUUCACCAUAAAGAUAAUGCCUCCAAAUCUUAAAUGCGAAAAUUACAGCAGCUAACUCCAAAUCGUGUGUCGGGUAGUUGCGUUCAUGUGGCUUCAACUGUCGAGAUGCAUAAGCUAUUACUUUUCCAUCUUGCAUCAAUACACAACCCAAACCAUUCAAAGAAGCAUCACUGUACACUAUGAAAUCUUUCCCCGAUUCUGGUAAAGUUAAAACCGGUGCCUCUGUCAACAUUUGUUUCAAUGUCUCAAAACUUCUCUGACACCGAUCAUCCCAGAUAAAAGGAACAUUCUUCUGUAGUAACUUGGUCAUCGGCAAAGCUAUCUUCGAAAACCCAUUUACAAAUCUUCUGUAAUACCCAGCCAAACCAAGAAAACUGCGUACCUCUGAUACAUUCUUUGGUGCCUUCCAUUGAAGAAUUGCCUCAAUCUUCUUCGAAUCAACUCUGAUUCCAUCUACCGAUACUACAUGUCCCAAAAAUACCACCUCUGAUAACCAGAAUUCACAUUUGCUGAGCUUUCCAUACAACUAUUUUUCUCACAAAAUCUGUAACACAGUUUUGAGAUGCUGAUCAUGCUCUAACUCUGACUUCGAAUAAACUAAUAUAUCAUCAAUGAAAACCACCACAAACUGAUCUAAAUACGGCUGAAAAAUACGGUUCAUCAGAUCCAUAAAAGCAGCUGGAGCAUUAGUCAAUCCGAACGGCAUCACCAAAAAUUCAUAAUGACCAUACCUUGUACGAAAAGCUGUCUUCGGCACAUCACUUUCUUUUACUUUCAACUGAUAAUACCCGGACCGCAAAUCAAUAUUUGAAAAUACCGAAGCUCCUUUUAGCUGAUCAAAUAAAUUAUCUAUACGAGGCAACGGAUACCGGUUCUUGAUUGUGACUUUGUUCAACUGCCGAUAAUCAAUACAAAGCCGCAUUGAUCCAUCUUUCUUUUUAACAAACAAUACCGGAGCUCCCCAAGGUGAAAUACUCGGUCUAAUAAAUCCACGAUCUAGCAAGUCCUGCAACUGCACCUUCAACUCUUUUAAUUCAGUGGGCGACAUUCGGUACGGAGGUAUAGAGAUUGGUGCUGUACUCGGGUACACUUCUAUAGCAAAUUCAACCUCUCUGUCAGGUGGUAAGCUCGGUAGUUCUUCAGGAAAUACAUCUGGAAACUCACAUACAGUUCUGAUCUGACUACACUGACUACCCACCAAAUCAAAAUUAAUAACAUAAGCUAGAUAUGCUGUACAACCCUGUCGAAGCAAUUUACUAGCCUUGAUUGCUGAAAUAAUACGUGUCGAUCGACUAGUACGAAUACCAUUCACCUCAAUUCUGUCUCCAUCCUCUGUCUGAAUACCGAACCUCUUUUUGUAACAAUCUAAAAUCACCCCGUAUUCAGAUAACCAAUCCAUCCCCAGUAUUAUAUCAAAAUCCCCAAAUGGCAUAAUCAACAAGUCAACGGAAAACAUUUUAUCAUGUAUCAUCAACGGGCAUCUCCGACAUACUCUAUCUACAGACACAGUUUGUCCCAAAGGGCUAGACACUUCUAUUAAAAUUCUAGACAUUUCAGAUUUUAACUUUCUCAGUUCAACCAGUUUUGAAUUUAUAUAAGAGUGUGAAGAUCCGGGAUCAAUUAAAGCAUAAACAGGUUCAGAAUAUAGUAAGAAUAUACCUGUUACUACAUCAUGGGCGUCGCCUUCUUCCCGUGUUCUGACAACAUAAGCUCUGGCGGGUACUUUCACUUCAGACUGUUGAGUAGCUAUAUCACUGCUCCUCCUAAUAUUUCCUCCCCUUGAGAGUGAACUACCUCUACCUGACCCUCUGCCUCUAGCAGUAGAUACUGAUCUCUGAGAUGCUGCAGGUAAAGCACCUUCAUUUUUUUGACAAUCCCGGAUGAAAUGAUCUGUAGACCCGCAUCGAAAACAUCGUCGAGUUAUCAUCCAACAUUCGCCCAAAUGCUUCUUUCCACAGUGUUCACAGUCGGGGAUAUCAAUAUUUCGUGAAGGUCCUUUUACACUACCGGUAGAAACAGCAGUCUGUUUGCCUCGAUUUUUAUCUCCUCGAUCUGAUCUGAAACUUGACUUCCAACUAUCUCUGAAUUCUCGGGAUCUUUUCGGUAGAGGACUUGAAAUAGUAAUGCCAGCUCGUUUCCCAGUCGAUCUAGCUAUCUCAGGCUUUUUAUCCAAACCCAACACCUGCUCAACCAUCUUUGCUCUCUCUACUAAAUCUACAAAUUCUGUAAUUCGAUGUGACACCAGCUGUACCCUGAUCUCAUCUCUCAAACCCCGAAGAAACCUUUUACAACUAUCAGCCUCUGUCGGUAUAAACUCAGAAGCAUAUCGGCUGAGUCUGGAAAAUUCACGUUCAUAAUCUACAACAGACAGGUUACCUUGUUUCAACAUCAAAAACUCCUGCCUCUUAUCUUCAAUAUACAGCUCCCCAACAUAUUUCUUCUGAAAUUCUUUUUGAAAUAAAUCUCAUGUCACCUGUUCUGUAGGCAGAUGUUGUAUUACAGAUUCCCACCACAAAUAGGCUUCUCCUUGCAGUAGAGAAAUAGCACAGAUCAAGCUCUCUCGGGGGGUACAUUCUAAUUGCUGCAGAACUCGUUUAGUUGAUUCCAUCCAAUUCUCUGCAGUGAAUGGAUCAAUUCCCUUCAAACCCAAAAAUUCAGUAGCACCGUAUUUUCGUAAUUCUUUGAUUGGGGCCCGUCUAGUAGUAGGAGUAGAUAUCGUAGCAGGUACAGUUCCCGCUACUCGUUGCAAAGCAUCAGCUAUAAUUCUCAGUAAAUGGGAGUCAUCUCUGUCUCUAACAUUUUCCCGUUCUAUAUUAGGUUGGUUACCUAAUGGAUUUACACUCGGUGUAGCUGAUUCUGUUUCAUCCAAUUCUCUAUCUCUGAUAUACAUUUCUUGAUCUACAUCUUCCACGUGUUCAUUCGACAUUUUAACUAUAAAACAAAACAAAUAAUUAUAUCAGCAUCCAAAAAUCCCGACUCAGUUUGACUCGAUUGUGGCAUGUACAUCUAAACUCAAUUCUGAGCCCGAUUUAGUCCGAGAAUCGACUAAACCCGAUAGCUCUGAUACCAUAAAAUGUAACACCCCUAACCCCAAACUGUCACCGAAACAGGGUUACGAGGCAUUACCGGACAUAUCAAACAAUUUACAAAUAAUUCUAAAUAAAUAACCAACAUAUUAAAAUACUUCAUAAAUUGUUAUAAAUUUGUACUAAUUGAUUUCAUUCAUUUUUUUUUAAAAUUUCGGCAGCAUUUCGACUUAUUUUUACAUUAAACCCCCUGCAAAAUUUCAAACAUAACCAACCCAAUUUCAGUAUUUCAACCAAGGCAUUUAUAUACUUAAUCCUACUUGACAUAUAGACAUAACAACUUAAGUAAAUAAAAUCCUAUUAUCAUUUCUAAUUAACACAUAAAACUAACUAAGCCAUUUCAACUUGAUACCAAUGCUAAAAAAAACUUAUACCAUUUUUCUAAUAUAAUCAUCAAAACUCAUAAUAUCUUACUUUACAACAAAACUAUAUAACAUGCCAAAAUAACUAUUAUAAAUCCUAUGUACAUGCCACUUUCUCUUAAAGGAAGAAAACAUCACCAAAAUCUUUAUGUCGGAGUCGGGAUUGUCCUGGAUGCUGAACCGAGACACUAACCCCUUUUCAACCUGCGCACGGAAACAACCGUACGCUGAGUAUUUUAUACUCAGUGGUAUUACUAUAAAUUAAACUAUUUAAUAAUAAUAAAAUUUCAAAUAUUGACCAUAGUCUUUAAAAAAAAUCACUUUAAACUAAAUAUAAAUAUUCAUAUAUCAUUCCAUAAAUCUGAAAUUUAUAUAUUUAAAUAUUUACAUACUAAAUCAAUUCAUAAUUUAUAUCAUACAUUCUUUCUCAUAUUUUUCAAUAGUGUCAAAUCAACUAAUCUCAUUUUCAAAUUUCCAUUUCAAUUAUUUACCCUAUUAACAAGGCUCGGACUCUGACAGAUACGCGGAUUCCACCCAAACACACCAAAAUAUCCAACCUAAACACACCCGAAAUAAUUUAAAUCCUUCAUAACACACCAGUAUAUCAUAACCUCCCAAACACACCAAUAAGGCAUUUAAUGCCUCUUCGGAUAAACCGAAGCAUUUAAUAACAUAGUCAUCUUCUCGGCCGAACUACAAAUCUCCUCAUCACAUCACAAAUCCUAUGGCAUGCCAUUUGUAUCCAAUCUAGUCCGAUAAGUUAAUAGGGUAUUAUUUUACUUUUCCUAUUUCGAAUUCAUUUCCACAACAAUUUCAAAUAUUCAAUCAAUACAAAACAUCUAUUAUUUCAAUUCACAUAUAAUUCAAUAUACACAUAUUCUUACUUAAUUUCGAAUGUUAAUACUUACCUUCCUUUAAAUGUCUCAUGAAUACAAUUUCAAUAUAGCAUUUAUUAAAUAGAUUAAGUUAUAGUAAUACAAACCCGGAAUACGCGUUUACUCCUCAACGAUCUUUUCUUUUCUUUUAGAUGCUGAUGCCUCGUUUUCCUUGUUAGCUACGAAAAUAAUAAUUAUUUUUACUUUUAAUUAUAAUCAUUAAAAUAAUAAUUAUUAUUAUAUUAACAAUAAUAAUAAUAAUAAAAUUUUUAUUCAAUUCCUACUUAUUCCCAAUUUAAUUCUAACUAAGCUUACUUAUUUUUCUAACUUAAUUCACACUCUAUUUCUAUUCAAAUUCCUUCUAAAUCCAAAUUUAUCUACUAAUUUUUCAGCAUUUUUCACUAAUUUCAAAUUUUCCUCAAUUUAAUCCCUAAAAUUCAAAACUUAUAGUUUAGUUCACAAUUUAAUCCUUUUAUCAACUCUAACUAGAAACUCUAUCAAAUAAACCCUCAAUUCCAUCAUUUAUUCAACAUAAACCCCAAUUUAAGGCUUUUUAUAACUUAAUCCCAAUUAUGUAAAACUUACAACUUAGUUCACAAAUCAUUCUUUUUAUCUAUUCUAACUAAAAAUUCUAUCAACUAAACCUCUAAUUUAACAACUUGUUCAAAAUGAAUCAUGUUCAAAAACCUAUGAACUUCCAUAACCUCCACUUAACUUCAACAAAAUUUUGUUUUAAAGCUUUUAAAAUAUCAAAAUGAAGAGGAAAGGGCUAAAUUUAGCUUACCAAUUAACUUGAAGCUUUAAAUCCUUAGUUUUCCCUUUUAUUUUUCUUUCCCCUUUUCUUCCCCUGUUUUCGUCUCUUUCCGUGCUUCUUUUCUAGCUAUUCUGUUUCUUUUCUUCUUUGUUUCUUUCUUUCUUU
This 9616-nucleotide long non-coding RNA is filed under the name Gossypium barbadense (sea-island cotton). RNAcentral describes it as "long non-coding RNA (GBAR_LNC018213)". Lineage: Eukaryota; Viridiplantae; Streptophyta; Magnoliopsida; Malvales; Malvaceae. The record is from RNAcentral.